This 484-nucleotide ribosomal RNA is filed under the name uncultured bacterium. RNAcentral's name for it is "partial 16S ribosomal RNA". It matches the Rfam family "Bacterial small subunit ribosomal RNA", at positions 30 to 507 of the family's 1533-position model. The record is from RNAcentral.
AUUGAACGCUGGCGGCAGGCCUAACACAUGCAAGUCGAGCGGAUGAAGGGAGCUUGCUCCUGGAUUCAGCGGCGGACGGGUGAGUAAUGCCUAGGAAUCUGCCUGGUAGUGGGGGAUAACGUCCGGAAACGGGCGCUAAUACAGCAUACGUCCUGAGGGAGAAAGUGGGGGAUCUUCGGACCUCACGCUAUCAGAUGAGCCUAGGUCGGAUUAGCUAGUUGGUGGGGUAAAGGCCUACCAAGGCGACGAUCCGUAACUGGUCUGAGAGGAUGAUCAGUCACACUGGAACUGAGACACGGUUCAGACUCCUACGGGAGGCAGCAGUGGGGAAUAUUGGACAAUGGGCGAAAGCCUGAUCCAGCCAUGCCGCGUGUGUGAAGAAGGUCUUCGGAUUGUAAAGCACUUUAAGUUGGGAGGAAGGGCAGUAAGUUAAUACCUUGCUGUUUUGACGUUACCAACAGAAUAAGCACCGGCUAACUUCGUG